Molecule: ribosomal RNA, 399 nt
Filed under: uncultured bacterium
Lineage: Bacteria
Description: bacterial SSU rRNA
Rfam family: Bacterial small subunit ribosomal RNA
Source: RNAcentral
GGGGAAUAUUGCACAAUGGGCGAAAGCCUGAUGCAGCAACGCCGCGUGAGUGAUGAAGGCCUUCGGGUCGUAAAACUCUGUCCUCAAGGAAGAUAAUGACGGUACUUGAGGAGGAAGCCCCGGCUAACUACGUGCCAGCAGCCGCGGUAAUACGUAGGGGGCUAGCGUUAUCCGGAUUUACUGGGCGUAAAGGGUGCGUAGGUGGUUUUUUAAGUCAGGAGUGAAAGGCUACGGCUCAACCGUAGUAAACUCUUGAAACUGGAAAACUUGAGUGCAGGAGAGGAAAGUGGAAUUCCUAGUGUAGCGGUGAAAUGCGUAGAUAUUAGGAGGAACACCGGUGGCGAAGGCGGCUCUCUGGACCGAUACUGACGCUGAGACGCGAAAGCGUGGGUAGCAAAC